RNAcentral lists this transfer RNA (58 nucleotides) under Bungarus fasciatus (banded krait). Its description in RNAcentral is "transfer RNA-Ser". The record is from RNAcentral. Lineage: Eukaryota; Metazoa; Chordata; Lepidosauria; Squamata; Elapidae.
CUGAGAAAGUUAUAAGACCUGCUAACUCUUUAAUCUGGUAUUAACAACCAGCUUCCUC